UACGUAGGGGGCUAGCGUUGCUCGGAAUCACUGGGCGUAAAGCGCACGUAGGCGGCUUCUUAAGUCAGGGGUGAAAUCCUGGAGCUCAACUCCAGAACUGCCUUUGAUACUGAGAAGCUUGAGUCCGGGAGAGGUGAGUGGAACUGCGAGUGUAGAGGUGAAAUUCGUAGAUAUUCGCAAGAACACCAGUGGCGAAGGCGGCUCACUGGCCCGGUACUGACGCUGAGGCGCGAAAGCGUGGGUAGCAAACGGG
Molecule: ribosomal RNA, 253 nt
Filed under: uncultured bacterium
Lineage: Bacteria
Description: partial 16S ribosomal RNA
Rfam family: Bacterial small subunit ribosomal RNA
Source: RNAcentral